GCCCUAUAUUAUCAUUUUUUCAGUUUCGCUCCCAAUUUCUAAUAGCCAACUUGCUUUCGUAGUUUCCUAGCUCAACAGUAGAAACUAGAAAGUUUCCAAAUAGCUCUAGCUCCGCUUCAAACCUCCUCUUAUGUUUCUUAGCUCAACAGGUUUCUUCUUGUUGAUUUCUUAAUAAAGAAUCAGAGUGUAUAUUCCUCUCUCCAGUAUUAAUCCAGCGUUUGAAUCUAGGGUGAAGAAGUGAAUCAAGGAAUAUGAGUAAUAGUAUAGGACAUAAUUUAUUCCAAAAGAGUUUGAUUCGUCCGUCGGGUUUUGAACAUCGAAGCAAGCUCGAUUCUUCUGGCAUUCCUGCAAACUCUUUAUUACAAUCUGCCUCUGUGAGUCAAGGACCGCAGAUACGAAGGUCGCCGAUAUCCUCUAGUUUUUAUGGAAAAAAUUUGAGAGUGCAGAAAUCAAAAUUAGCCGUUGGAAAUCGUCGUCCAGCUAUUGUCACUCCACGGGCUGUAUUAGCUAUGGAUCCGGCAUCUGAGCUUCUAGGAAAAUUCAGCCUUGAUGGAAAUGUUGAAUUGCAGGUUUUUGUUAGCAAUCACACUUCUGUUUCAACUGUGCAAGUACACAUUCAGAUAACAUAUAGUAGUGAUUCUUUGCUCCUACACUGGGGUGGGAUACGUGAUAGAAAGGCAAAGUGGGUGCUUCCUUUGCGUUGCCCAGAUGGAACAAAAAAUUAUAAGAACAGAGCCCUUAGAAGUCCUUUUGUGAAGUCUGGCACCAGUUCUUACCUCAAAAUAGAGAUCGAUGAUCCUGCAAUACAAGCCUUAGAGUUUCUUAUACUUGAUGAAGCGCGGAAUAAAUGGCUUAAAAAUAAGGGUGAUAACUUUCAUGUUAAGUUACCUGCGCGACAGAAGUUGAUAAUUCCAAAUAUCUCAGUUCCUGAAGAGCUUGUACAAAUUCAAGCAUAUCUGAGGUGGGAAAGAAAGGGUAAACAAAUGUAUACCCCAGAACAAGAAAAGGAAGAAUAUGAAGCUGCUCGUAUCGAGCUAUUGGAGGAAGUAACCAAGGGUAUUUCUGUUGAGGACCUCCGAGCAAGGCUGACAAACAAAAAUGAUAGAUAUGAAAUUAAGGAGCCAGCUGUGUCUAAAACAAAAAGCAAGAUACCUGAUGAUCUCAUACAGGUUCAAGCUUAUAUAAGAUGGGAAAAAGCAGGUAAACCCAAUUAUUCUCCAGAGCAGCAACAGGUAACUUUACUUUCUCCUUUUGCUUGGUUAGUUUCUGUAAUGUUUUCCUUUUAAGGGCUCAUGCUGGAGAAAUGAACAUUAACAGUUGCUUAUUUGUAAUUUAUUAGUGAUGAGGUUGUUAUUCAUUACUUAUAUUUGACAUUCUUUGUUGUAAUUUUGUAUAUAUAGAGGGAAUUUGAGGAAGCAAGAGAAGAAUUGCAGAAAGAACUGGAAAGAGGUGUAUCUCUCGAUGACUUGCGUAAGAAGAUCACUAAAGGAGAGAUCCAAAGCAAGGUUUCAAAGCAGCUGGAGAAAAAAGGAUAUUUUAGUAUUGAAAGGAUUCAGCGUAAAAAGAGGGACUUAGCACAGCUUGUCACCAAAUAUGCUGCUAAAUAUGCCGAGGAAGAUGUUUCAGUAGAACCAAAACUAAAGGCCUUGAAGGCAGUUGAACUUUUUGCUAAAGAAAAGGAAGAACAGGCUGGUGAUGCUGUUCUGAACAAAAAGAUCUUUAAGCUCCAUGACGGACAACUGCUGGUGCUUGUGACCAAGGCUGCUGGUAAGACGAAGAUUUAUGUUGCCACUGAUUUCGAAGAGCCGGUCACUCUUCACUGGGCGUUAUCUAGAAAGGGUAGAGAGUGGUUGGCACCGCCACUGACUGUGUUGCCUCCUGGUUCAGUUGCUCUGAGCGAGGCUGCUGAAACACAACUUAAAAGCAUUUCUUCUACUGAACUUUCUUAUCAGGUCCAAUCCUUUGAAAUGGAGAUCGAAGAAGAUAAUAUUGUAGGGAUGCCCUUUGUGCUUUUGUAUGAUGGAAAGUGGAUAAAGAAUAAUGGCUCAGACUUUUAUGUUGAAUUUAGUGGCGAACCUAAGCCAUUCCAAAAGGAUGCUGGUGAUGGAAGAGGUACAGCUAAAGUUUUAUUGGAUAGAAUUGCAGAGCUGGAGAGUGAAGCACAGAAGUCCUUCAUGCAUCGAUUUAAUAUUGCAGCUGAUUUGAUGGAGCAAGCAAAGGAUGCUGGAGAGUUGGGUCUUGCAGGAGUCUUGGUGUGGAUGAGAUUUAUGGCCACGAGGCAACUUAUUUGGAACAAAAACUACAAUGUCAAACCACGUGAGAUCAGCAAGGCACAGGAUAGGCUGACAGACUUGCUCCAGAAUAUAUAUACAAGUCAUCCACAGUAUCGAGAGCUUUUGCGGAUGAUUAUAUCUACUGUUGGCCGAGGUGGUGAAGGUGAUGUGGGACAGCGUAUUCGGGAUGAAAUCUUAGUUAUCCAGAGAAACAAUGAUUGCAAAGGUGGUAUGAUGGAGGAAUGGCAUCAAAAGCUGCAUAAUAACACAAGCCCUGAUGAUGUUGUAAUCUGCCAGGCGUUAAUUGAUCACAUUAAAAGUGACUUUGACAUCAGUGUGUACUGGAAAACUUUGAAUGAAAAUGGAAUAACGAAAGAACGACUUUUAAGUUAUGAUCGUGCCAUCCAUUCUGAACCAAACUUCAGGAGAGAUCAAAAGGAUGGUCUUUUGCGUGAUCUCGGAAACUAUAUGAGAACUUUAAAGGCAGUUCAUUCUGGUGCAGAUCUUGAGUCUGCUAUUGCAAAUUGUAUGGGCUAUAGAGCUGAGGGUCAAGGCUUCAUGGUUGGAGUGCAGAUAAAUCCCAUUUCAGGCUUGCCAUCUGGAUUUCCAGAAUUGCUUCAAUAUGUUCUCGAGCAUGUUGAAGAUAAAAAUGUUGAAGCGCUUCUUGAGGGUUUACUGGAGGCUCGGCAGGAGCUUAGGCCAUUGCUGUUUAAGUCUAAUAAUCGUCUGAAAGAUCUUCUAUUUUUGGAUAUUGCCCUUGAUUCUACUGUGAGGACAGCCAUUGAGAGAGGAUAUGAGGAAUUAAAUGAUGAUGGACCAGAGAAAAUUAUGUAUUUCAUCACCCUGGUUCUUGAAAAUCUUGCACUUUCGUCAGAUGAUAAUGAAGAUUUUAUCUAUUGCUUGAAGGGAUGGAAUCAUGCCCUAAGUAUGUCCAAAAGUAAACGCAAUCACUGGGCAUUAUAUGCGAAAUCAGUCCUCGACAGAACUCGCCUUGCCCUUGCGAGCAAGGCUGAAUGGUAUCAGCAAGUUUUGCAACCAUCAGCAGAGUAUCUUGGAUCACUGCUUGGAGUGGAUCAGUGGGCUGUGAACAUAUUCACUGAAGAAAUUGUUCGUGCUGGAUCAGCUGCAGCUUUGUCCAUGCUUCUUAAUCGACUUGAUCCAGUACUUCGGAAGACUGCUCAUCUUGGAAGUUGGCAGGUUAUUAGCCCAGUUGAAGCUGCUGGGUAUAUUGUUGUGGUGGAUGAGUUGCUCACAGUACAGAACUUAUCUUAUGACCGCCCUACAAUUUUAGUGGCAAGAAGAGUAAGUGGAGAAGAAGAAAUUCCAGAUGGUACAGUUGCUGUGCUGACACCUGACAUGCCAGAUGUUCUAUCCCAUGUUUCUGUGCGAGCAAGAAAUAGCAAGGUUUGCUUUGCCACAUGCUUUGAUCACAACAUUCUGGAUAAUCUCCGAGCAAAUGAAGGGAAAUUAAUGAAUCUGAAACCUACCUCAGCAGAUAUAGUCUAUAGUGAGCUAAAGAAGGGCGCGCUAGCAGAUUCAAGUUCAAAUAACUUGAAAGAAGUUGGUCCUUCACCUAUAAAGUUGAUCAGAAAGAAGUUCAGUGGUAGAUAUGCCAUAUCAUCGGAGGAGUUUACCAGUGAAAUGGUUGGUGCCAAAUCACGCAAUAUCUCACAUCUGAAAGGAAAAGUACCAUCCUGGAUUGGGAUUCCUACAUCAGUUGCCUUACCAUUUGGAGUUUUUGAGAAGGUUCUUUCAGAUGGUUCAAAUCAACAAGUGGCUAUGAAUUUGAAAGUGUUGAAGAAAAAGUUGGAACAAGGAGAGUUUAGUCAGCUCAGGAAAAUUCGCAAGACAGUUUUACAGCUGGCAGCACCCCCACAGUUGGUGCAAGAGCUGAAGACCAAGAUGAAAAGUUCUGGGAUGCCUUGGCCUGGUGAUGAAGGUGAACAGCGAUGGGAGCAAGCAUGGAUGGCUAUAAAGAAGGUCUGGGCUUCAAAGUGGAACGAGAGAGCGUACCUCAGCACAAGGAAAGUGAAGUUAGACCAUGAUUACCUCUGCAUGGCUGUCCUGGUUCAGGAGAUAAUAAAUGCUGAUUAUGCAUUUGUUAUCCACACAAUCAAUCCAUCUUCGGGGGACUCAUCAGAGAUAUAUGCUGAGGUAGUGAAGGGACUUGGAGAAACUCUAGUUGGAGCCUACCCUGGCCGCGCUUUGAGUUUUAUCUGCAAGAAAAAAGAUCUGAAUUCUCCUCAGGUGUUGGGUUAUCCAAGCAAAUCCAGUGGCCUCUUUAUAAGACGUUCUAUUAUCUUCAGAUCUGACUCUAAUGGUGAAGAUCUGGAAGGUUAUGCUGGUGCUGGCCUUUAUGAUAGUGUUCCAAUGGAUGAAGAAGAGAAAGUUGUGCUUGAUUACUCAUCUGAUCGAUUGAUCACCGAUGAAAACUUCCAAAAAUCAAUCCUCUCUAACAUUGCUCGCGCAGGAAGUGCAAUUGAAGAGCUCUACGGAUCUGCACAAGACAUUGAAGGUGUGAUAAGGGACGGUAAACUCUAUGUGGUCCAGACAAGACCCCAGAUGUAGUUUCCAUAUAUUUAUUUUCUUUGCCUUAUUUUUCCCCAUCGAAUUUUGCUAAUUAAUUGGAAUUGUGCACAACGGCAAAUUAAAAUAGGGGACAUAAUAUAUAUGAAUAAGCAACAACUGUAAAAGAUUUAAUAAAUUAGAAUUUGAGCUAGACCUAAUUCAUAUUUAAU
This 5011-nucleotide unclassified non-coding RNA is filed under the name Hevea brasiliensis (rubber tree). Lineage: Eukaryota; Viridiplantae; Streptophyta; Magnoliopsida; Malpighiales; Euphorbiaceae. The record is from RNAcentral.